AUUUCACUAUAAAACAAAAGAAGCCUCCUUCUGUUUAGUCUCAUUUCUCACAGACCGUCCCAUAUCGAAUCAUCAAUGGCAGAAGCAACAAAGAGGUAUGCAGUUGUUACUGGGGCAAACAAAGGCAUAGGAUUGGAAACUGUGAGGCAAUUGGCCUCAAAUGGAUUCACUGUAGUCUUAACUGCCAGAGAUGAGAAGAGGGGUCUUGAAGCUGUUGAGAAACUCAAAGAGUCUGGCCUCUCAGGUCAAGUGGUUUUUCAUCAACUUGAUGUGGCUAACCCUGCUACUGUUGCUUCUUUGGCAGACUUCAUCAAAACCCAGUUUGGGAAACUCGAUAUCUUGGUGAACAAUGCAGGGAUUUUUGGAAGCAUAUUAGAUGGUGAUGCUUUUAAAGCUGUAAUAGCCUCUGGUGACGUGGAAAGACUAGGAGUUGAUUUGAUUAAACUAGUGACUGAAACUUAUGAGUUCGCAGAAGAAUGCGUACAAAUAAACUAUUAUGGUGCUAAAAGAACAGCUGAAGCACUUAUCCCACUCCUCCAGUUAUCUGACUCACCGAGAAUUGUUAAUGUUUCGUCUGGCGCAGGGAAGUUAAACAACAUACCAAGCCAUUGGGCUAAAGGAGUUUUUACUGAUGCCGAAAACCUAACAGAAGAGAGAGUAGAUGAGGUAUUGACUGAGUUUCUAAAAGAUUUCAAGGAGGGUUCACUUGAAAGUAAGGGCUGGCCUUCUUCUAUGCCUGCCUAUAUAGUCUCAAAAGCAGCGUUGAACGCAUAUACAAGGAUUCUAGCAAAGAAGUACCUCAAUUUUCGUAUCAAUUCGGUCUGCCCUGGCUUUGUCAAAACAGAUAUAAACUGCAAUGUCGGCGUCUUGCCUGUCGAAGAAGGUGGUGCCAGGAUUGUGAAGUUAGCCUUGCUGCCCAAUGACGGCCCUACUGGCUCCUUCUUUGUUCACAAUGAAGUGUCAGAUCUUACAUAUGGAUCUCGACACCCACUUUGUGUCCCUGCUGGGUUAGUUUGUAAACCUGACUCUCCUAUUUGGAAACAUACCUCUAAUGGUUCUUUUAAUGUCAAAUCUGCUUACAGGGCUAACUGCAGGGACUCUUCAAAUCGGUUAUUAACUAAUGAACAAAGAGUCAGGCGGAGGUUGACUCUGCAUGCAAAUUGUGACAUUUGUGGUGCCCCUGUGGAGAAUGUGGAUCAUAUUGUUAGGAAUUGUUUAUUGGCUUCUCUUGUUUGGCGCCAAUCCUCCUUGCCUAUAAGUCUGAACUUGUCGCAGGAUGACAACUUGAUUACCUGGGCUGGAAAAAAUUUACACAACUACACCUUAAUGGGUUACAGGGUUGUGUGGUCUACUCUGUUUGCUUUCACAUGCUGGUUCCUUUGGAAAUGGAGGAACCAGAAGAUUUUCGAUCCUGGGUUUGUCUUCCCUCCCAAUCCCAACCACAUAAUUCUUUUGGCUGCUGCAGAUUGGCAAUUUGCCAACAUUGAUCUUGCUCAUAAACCCAUCCGCUCCAUAGCCAAUCUAUCCUGGCAGUACCCUGCUGCAGGAGUGACUAAAAUUAAUACUGAUGGUUGCCGAAAUGGAGAGACUGGUCGCAUUGCUGCUGGUGGUGUACUUAGAUCAAGCUCUGGGAUGUGGGUUAAAGGGUUUGCUGCUAAUAUUGGUUAUGGUCAAGUAUUAGAUGCUGAGUUAUGGGGUAUCUACUAUGGUCUCAAAUCUGCUUGGGAUAUGGGCUGUAGUGUUGUUGUGCUGGAAUCUGACUCAGCCGUUGCAGUGAAUCUUCUCAAUAAAGCUGUGGAUGCCCUCCACCCUCUUGCUACCUUGUUAUGGGGCUGCCAGGACUACAUCAAACGAUGUUGGGGCUGCUCUAUUUCUCAUGUCUAUCGUGAAUGCAAUAUGGUGGCUGAUAGACUUGCUAACUUGGGCUCUUGCCUUGAUUUGGGUCUCAGUUCCUUUCAAGUGCCCCCAGACAGUAUUAGGUCCUCGUUUGUUGAUGACCUGCGUGGUCUUUUCAAUUGUGUAAACAAAGGCGUAGGAUUGGAAACUGUCAGGCAGUUGGCCUCAAAAGGAUUCAAUGUAGUCUUAACUGCCAGAGAUGAGAAGAGGGGUCUUGAAGCUGUUGAGAAACUCAGAGAGUCUGGCCCCUCAGAUCAAUCAAAAUUCAACGGCUUUCCAAGAACAUUACACUACAAAAGAAAAGAAGGCUCCUUCUGUUUAAUACACAUCUCAAUUCUCACAGAUCGUCCCGUUUCAAAUCUAUCAAUGGCAGAAGCAACAAAGAGGUAUGCAGUUGUUACUGGAGCAAACAAAGGCAUAGGAUUGGAAACUGUCAGGCAGUUGGCCUCAAAUGGGUUCACCGUAGUCUUAACUGCCCGAGAUGAGAAGAGGGGUCUUGAAGCUGUUGAGAAACUCAAGGAGUCUGGUCUCUCAGGUCAAGUGGUUUUUCAUCAACUUGAUGUGGCUAACCCUGCCAGUCUUGCUCCUUUGGCAGACUUCAUCAAAACCCAGUUUGGGAAACUCGAUAUCUUGGUGAACAAUGCGGGGAUUAGUGGAAGCAUAGUAGAUGGUGAUGCUUUUAAAGCUGCUGUAGCCUCCGGUGCCACGGAAAGAGGAGUUGAUUGGAGUAAACUAGUGACUGAAACUUAUGAGUUGACAGAAGAAUGCUUGCAAAUAAACUAUUAUGGUGCUAAAAGAACAGCUGAAGCACUUAUCCCACUCCUCCAGUUAUCCGAUUCACCGAGAAUCGUUAAUGUUUCGUCUAUCAUGGGGAAGUUAAACAACAUACCGAGCGGUUGGGCUAAAGGAGUUUUUACUGAUGCAGAAAACCUAACAGAAGAGAGAGUAGAUGAGGUAUUGACAGAGCUUCUAAAAGACUUCAAGGAGGGUUCACUUGAAAGUAAAGGCUGGCCUUCUUCUAUGCCUGCCUAUAUAGUCUCAAAAGCAGCACUGAACGCAUAUACAAGGAUUCUAGCAAAGAAGUACCCCAAUUUUCGUAUCAAUUCGGUCUGCCCUGGCUUUAUCAAAACAGAUAUAAACUUCAAUGUCGGCGUCUUGCCUGUCGAAGAAGGUGGUGCCAGGGUUGUGAAGUUAGCAUUGCUACCCAGUGAUGGCCCUACUGGCUCCUUCUUUGUUCACAAUGAAGUGUCGGAUCUCUAUCGUCCCGUUUCGAAUCUAUCAAUGGCAGAAGCAACAAAGAGGUAUGCAGUUGUUACUGGAGCAAACAAAGGCAUAGGAUUGGAAACUGUCAGGCAGUUGGCCUCAAAUGGGUUCACCGUAGUCUUAACUGCCCGAGAUGAGACGAGGGGUCUUGAAGCUGUUGAGAAACUCAAAGAGUCUGGUCUCUCAGGUCAAGUGGUUUUUCAUCAACUUGAUGUGGCUAACCCUGCUACUGUUGCUUCUUUGGCAGACUUCAUCAAAACCCAGUUUGGGAAACUCGAUAUCUUGGUGAACAAUGCAGGGAUUUUUGGAAGCAUAUUCGAUGGUGAUGCUUUUAAAGCUGUAAUAGCCUCUGGUGCCGUGGAAAGAGGAGAAGUUGAUUUGAGUAAACUAGUGACUGAAACUUAUGAGUUGACAGAAGAAUGCUUGCAAAUAAACUAUUAUGGUGCUAAAAGAACAGCUGAAGCACUUAUCCCACUCCUCCAGUUAUCCGAUUCACCGAGAAUCGUUAAUGUUUCGUCUAUCAUGGGGAAGUUAAACAACAUACCGAGCGGUUGGGCUAAAGGAGUUUUUACUGAUGCAGAAAACCUAACAGAAGAGAGAGUAGAUGAGGUACUAACAGAGCUUCUAAAAGACUUCAAGGAGGGUUCACUUGAAAGUAAGGGCUGGCCUUCUUCUAUGCCUGCCUAUACAGUCUCAAAAGCAGCACUAAACGCAUAUACAAGGAUUCUAGCAAAGAAGUACCCCAAUUUUCGUAUCAAUUCGGUUUGCCCUGGCUUUGUCAAAACAGAUAUAAACUUCAACGCCGGCGUCUUGCCUGUCGAAGAAGGUGGUGCCAGGGUUGUGAAGUUAGCAUUGCUGCCCAAUGAUGGCCCUACUGGCUCCUUCUUUGUUCACAAUGAAGUGUCAGAUCUUUGAUUGAAGAUGAUCCAUUUAUGCGAAUUUAAUACGAGUCACUUAUUGGGCCACAUCUUGUGCGCUAUUAUUCAGUCAGAAAUUCUAUGUGAUUAAUGUCCGGUAUUAUCGAUAGUAUAUCAAUAACAUUUCUAUAUAUUUUGUUA
Molecule: non-coding RNA, 4217 nt
Organism: Prunus avium (sweet cherry)
Lineage: Eukaryota; Viridiplantae; Streptophyta; Magnoliopsida; Rosales; Rosaceae
Source: RefSeq, a predicted model, not a curated record